GACGAACGCUGGCGGCGUGCUUAACACAUGCAAGUCGAACGAUGAAGCUGUGCUUGCACAGUGGAUUAGUGGCGAACGGGUGAGUAACACGUGAGUAACCUGCCCUCCACUUUGGGAUAACUCCGAGAAAUCGGGGCUAAUACUGGAUAUGACCUUGGCCCGCAUGGGUUUGGUGGAAAGUUUUUCCGGUGGGGGCAUGGGCUCGCGGCCUAUCAGUUUGUUGGUGAGGUAGUGGCUCACCAAGGCGAUGACGGGUAGCCGGCCUGAGAGGGGCCGACCGGCCACACUGGGACUGAGACACGGCCCGAGACUCCUACGGGAGGCAGCANUGGGGCAAUAUUGCACAAUGGGCGAAAGCCUGAUGCAGCGACGCCGCGUGGGGCAUGACGGCCUCGGUUGUAACUCUUCAGCAAGGAAGAGCGAAGUGACGGUCUUGCAGAAGAAGCGCCGGCUAACUACGUGCCAGCAGCCGCGGU
Molecule: ribosomal RNA, 476 nt
Filed under: uncultured bacterium
Lineage: Bacteria
Description: bacterial SSU rRNA
Rfam family: Bacterial small subunit ribosomal RNA
Source: RNAcentral